RNAcentral lists this ribosomal RNA (444 nucleotides) under uncultured bacterium. RNAcentral's name for it is "bacterial SSU rRNA". It matches the Rfam family "Bacterial small subunit ribosomal RNA", at positions 53 to 507 of the family's 1533-position model. The record is from RNAcentral.
ACAUGCAAGUCGAGCGGGGAUUAAUGAGGUGCUUGCACCGAUUUAAUUCUAGCGGCGGACGGGUGAGUAACGCGUGAGCAAUCUGUCCCGUACAGGGGGAUAACACUUGGAAACAGGUGCUAAUACCGCAUAAGACCACGAGGCGACAUCGCCAUGGGGUAAAAGAGAUUCGGUACGGGGUGAGCUCGCGUCCGAUUAGCUAGUUGGAGGGGUAACGGCCCACCAAGGCGACGAUCGUUAGCCGGACUGAGAGGUUGAACGGCCACAUUGGGACUGAGACACGGCCCAGACUCCUACGGGAGGCAGCAGUGAGGAAUAUUGGGCAAUGGGCGCAAGCCUGACCCAGCAAUGCCGCGUGAAGGAAGACGGUUUUCGGAUUGUAAACUUCUUUUAAGAGGGACGAUAAUGACGGUACCUCUUGAAUAAGCCACGGCUAACUACGUG